AAAAUCCGUUGGUUUCACGGGACCGUGAGGGUU
RNAcentral lists this transfer RNA (33 nucleotides) under Leptochilus ellipticus. RNAcentral's name for it is "partial tRNA-Leu". The record is from RNAcentral. Lineage: Eukaryota; Viridiplantae; Streptophyta; Polypodiopsida; Polypodiales; Polypodiaceae.